GGGCAUUCAGGUGAUUUUUGCAUGGGCGCGAUAGCACAGGAUGGUGAAAAUAUCAAACGCACGACCAACAGGAAACAUGGCCGUCAGUUUUGGCAACGUGCACAAGUUCAAGUAACCGGCAACCUCUGGUUCUACGGAAGAACGGGUGGACGACACCCACUGAAAGUCUGGAUCCAGAGGUGGUUCCACGGAGGCGGACACAUGGUUAAGCCAAACCCAGAGAACGGGGGGCACAGACACGGGCCCUGCGCCUUCCCGCCCCGUGGAGAACGGCUUCAUGAUUGAGCGUUGCUGGUGAGUGCCCCCUGCGUGGCCCCCUGCGUGAUGCGGCCUGGCCGCCAGCUGUUGACCGAAGCCUGGGAAGGACAUCGGCACCACCCUGCCCUCCCAGAGCUGCCGGGGACA
Long non-coding RNA from Lynx canadensis (Canada lynx), 405 nucleotides. RefSeq lists it as uncharacterized. Lineage: Eukaryota; Metazoa; Chordata; Mammalia; Carnivora; Felidae. The record is from RefSeq and is a predicted model, not a curated record. The transcript is spliced from 3 exons.